This 497-nucleotide ribosomal RNA is filed under the name uncultured bacterium. RNAcentral's name for it is "partial 16S ribosomal RNA". It matches the Rfam family "Bacterial small subunit ribosomal RNA", at positions 30 to 507 of the family's 1533-position model. The record is from RNAcentral.
CGAACGCUGGCGGCGUGCCUAAUACAUGCAAGUCGAGCGAAGUUUUUCUGGUGCUUGCACUAGAAAAACUUAGCGGCGAACGGGUGAGUAACACGUAAAGAACCUGCCUCAUAGACUGGGACAACUAUUGGAAACGAUAGCUAAUACCGGAUAACAGUAUUUCUCGCAUGAGAGAUAUUUAAAAGUUGGUUAUGCUAACACUAUGAGAUGGCUUUGCGGUGCAUUAGCUAGUUGGUGGGGUAAAGGCCCACCAAGGCGACGAUGCAUAGCCGACCUGAGAGGGUGAUCGGCCACACUGGGACUGAGACACGGCCCAGACUCCUACGGGAGGCAGCAGUAGGGAAUCUUCCGCAAAGGGCGAAAGCCUGACGGAGCAACGCCGCGUGAGUGAAGAAGGAUUUCGGUUCGUAAAGCUCUGUUGUUAGGGAAGAAUGGAUAUGUAGUAACUAUACAUGUAAGAGACGGUACCUAACCAGAAAGCCACGGCUAACUACGUG